RNAcentral lists this small RNA (116 nucleotides) under Pseudomonas sp. M47T1. The record is from RNAcentral. Lineage: Bacteria; Pseudomonadati; Pseudomonadota; Gammaproteobacteria; Pseudomonadales; Pseudomonadaceae.
AACAACUGAAGCCAAGGAGGCGCUUCAGGGCCAGGGAUGGUUGGCCAUUGAAAGGAUGCAGCCCGACACGGAUGUUGGAAUGGCCAGGACACUAAACCCGCUUCGGCGGGUUUUUU